GAGAACUGGUUUAGGUAAGCAGUCAUGUCAAUUCAUUCCUGGAGCUCCUGCACAUCACUGAAGCAGCUGCAGGGAAACUUAGCAGCUAUUCUUGUAUGAGCAGCAGCACUGCUGUGUCACAGAUCUGUCCUGCUGCCUCCUCAUUACCAGUGAUGAGUUCCACUAAUUAGUUCCCCUUGCUUCUGUUCCUCUGGCAGAUUCCAGAAGGGGUCCCCUGGGCCUGCCACAGCUGUGAACAGCCCUGUUUAGCUCAGGUGUGAGGAAUUCUCCUUGAGCUGCCCCUUAAUUUUGCCAGACUGGAGAUAUCAUUUGGCAUGCUCAUACUGCUUAAACCCCAUGAAGUUGCAUCAUGAUUUCCCCUUCUGUAGUG
Long non-coding RNA from Motacilla alba alba, 370 nucleotides. RefSeq lists it as uncharacterized. The transcript is spliced from 3 exons. NCBI's taxonomy places the organism in Eukaryota, Metazoa, Chordata, Aves, Passeriformes, Motacillidae. The record is from RefSeq and is a predicted model, not a curated record.